This is a non-coding RNA of Podarcis lilfordi (Lilford's wall lizard), 112 nucleotides long. NCBI's taxonomy places the organism in Eukaryota, Metazoa, Chordata, Lepidosauria, Squamata, Lacertidae. The record is from the annotation of a GenBank genome assembly.
UCAGGACUAUGAGAGAGAGAGAGAGAGAGAGAGAGAGAGAGAAUAUUGUGUUUUUUAAGGUAUCUCUCUCUCUCUCUCUCUCUCUCUCUCUCUCACACACACACACACACAC